Symphalangus syndactylus (siamang) is the source of this 846-nucleotide long non-coding RNA. RefSeq lists it as uncharacterized. Lineage: Eukaryota; Metazoa; Chordata; Mammalia; Primates; Hylobatidae. The record is from RefSeq and is a predicted model, not a curated record.
CCAGGCACAGUGGCUCAUGCCUGUAAUCCCAACACUUUGGGAGGCAGAGGUGGAAGUAUCAUUUGAGCCCAGGAGUUUGAGGCUGCAGUGAGCUGUGAUCCCACCAUUGCACUCCAACCUGGGCAACAGAGCAAGACCCUAUUUAAAAAAAACACCAGUACCACAUGGGAGAAAACAUUAAUUCAGUUUUUAUAAUGAAAGUUUAACUCAGAGCUCAAGACAUUACUAAAAUUAAGAAAAGUUCUCCAGCCUGGCCAACAUGGUGAAACCCUGUCUCUACCAAAAAAUAAAAAAUAAUUAGCUGGGCAUGGUGGCAGGCGCCUGUAGUCCCAGCUAUUCGGGAGGCUGAGGCAUGAGAAUCACUUGAACCUGGGAGGUGGGGGUUGCAGUGAGCCAAGAUCUGCCACUGCAUUCCAGCCUGGGCAACAGAGUGAGACUCUGUCUCAAAAAAAAAAGAAGAAAAAAACUCUGAGGAAGAGUCCUGUGAGUUGUGGGAAAACCUUCAAUGUGAAAAACAUUUUUACUGAAUGUCAGUAUACCACAAUAGAAACAUUUCUAUCUUUUCUAUAAUGCUGGAAAAGCUCUAGUCUUAUUCAGACAUAACCUACAGGAAGAGAGUUGUAUUACUGUAAGAGAUCUAAUGCAGAACUUAUCGGAUAUUGUAAAAAUCAGUGUGGGAGAUAUUCAGUCAAAAGUCAGAAGGAAAUGUAUUAUUGUUAUAAUGUCAAACCUUUAGAGAGCCUAAAUUACCAAUUGCAUAUCAAAUUUUUUUCGAUAAUGUAAGGAAAACUUAAAUCCUCUCCAUAUCCUAAUUGGCAUUUAUAAUAAAAUGACACUUAACCUUGA